UCACAUCUAUACAAAAACAUUUUAUUAAUUGAAGUAUGUUUUUUUUUUUUUUAAAUUUCCCCACCAAUUAUUUCCCGAUCAGGAAUGUCCUCAAUGCUUCUGACAUACAUAUACUUGUUAGUCAAGUCAGGAAACUCAUCGUUGCCUUCAGAAUUAUCUAUACUGACCUGCUCUCUAUACUGAUCUCUAUACUGAUCGCUGCUCAAUUGGAAUUCAUAAAGAUAUGAAAAAGUUGCUGGGUUUCGUAAUCGCUGUCAGCGUUCAUCAAUUUCAUGAAAGCGAUAUUCUAUCUGCUACUGGAGUCGUUUUUGGACCAAUUGAAAAACAUAACAAUCUUUUAACUGCCAUGGAACGACGAUCCCUAAGGUUUCCUGGAAAGAUUGCUGUGAAAUUAAAAAUGCCAUAUUCAACUAUGCCUGCACCAGUUUUUUUUUUAAUAUUUCAAUUACCUAAUUUAUAAUUGAAAUAUUACUUAAAAUUUCAGGUAGUUCUGUCAAAUAGUGUACAAGCUAUAAAUUUUGAAACAAUGGCUGCUCCGUCAACGCCAACGUGUGUUACCGAUCUAACUACGCUUUCUACCUCUAUGCAGUCGGAACUGACCCAGCAAAACAGAAAUAUGCCUAACACACUCACUGCGACAUCCGUCGUACGAUUUUACAGUGUCAGUGCUGAUGUGACUGAUGCUCAUUUAGCUGACUUUUGUUCUCAAUGUGGUCCAGUCGAUCACAUUGAGAGACUAACGUCUAAAGAAGGAAAAAAGACUGUAUUCGUCGAGCUCACUGUGAAACGUGCCGUUGCGGAGUCAUUCGUGAAGAGAUUUGAAAAAGGCUGCCGAAUCAACCACAUAAAUUGCGUUAUACAAAUGUCAAGUUGUAAUACCAUAUUCAGGAAAACUGAGAAGGCUAAGGAAAAACAUUUUAAUUACAUGUUAUGUAAUUAAUUAAAAUUAUUUGUAUAUUUAUAGGCCGAUAUGGUUGCUUACAAAGCGUCCAAGAAGAGUGUCUCAGGGCACUGUGGAGAAGAAAAUGACUCUCUAAGAGUCAAUUUCUGUCUGGUGGAGCACUGUGAACACAGACAUUUUUACCUUCAAACACGAAAGAGAUUUGUUUGUGGCUGAAUUGGACAGGAAAAUUAUUGCUUUAAAUAUGUUAGCUUAUCCAAUGUUUCCUCCGACAUUUGAGAAACAUGAGCAUGCUUUGUUACUAUUGAAUCUACUAUUUGAGAAGAUGUCCUUAAACGCAGUACCAAACUCAACUGUCGAAAAUGAAGAUAGCGAUCGAUGUGGUAGUUGCAGGAAGUAUUUUUGUUAAACCUGUUGAAACACACACACUGACCACUGCAAUGCAGUUAUUUGGUUUCAGUAUUUUGAAUCCACAGCAAGUUGAAGUAAUCGACCCAGCUUUGACCAAACUAGAUUGCCUCGUCGAAAUGUCAACCGGUUUUCUUCUACCGGGAUUGUUUGAGCGUGGAGUGACGUUUGUCGUUUCCCCUUUGAAAUCUUUGAUGUUUGAUCAAGUCAACUAUUUGAAAAGUCUAGGGAUAAAGGCCAGUUUUGAUUGCGUUGAAAACGAUGCAAAUGCUACUGAAUUUUUCACGUCUCUGACGCAACAUUAAUAUUUUUAUUUACUAUAUUUAAAAAU
Long non-coding RNA from Daphnia pulicaria, 1640 nucleotides. RefSeq lists it as uncharacterized. The record is from RefSeq and is a predicted model, not a curated record. The transcript has 7 exons. NCBI's taxonomy places the organism in Eukaryota, Metazoa, Arthropoda, Branchiopoda, Diplostraca, Daphniidae.